UGCCAAACCUUGUUAACAAAAAAUCACAUAUAUGGGUAACUGGAUUUCUUGCAUCGUUUUUCAAGUAUCUUGGGGGAGGCUAGACCUAUGCUCAAGGUGAAGACAUGCCCCAAAACUGCACCGUUCAGAUUUGUGCUGAAGGACNGGCCCAGUCCAGGAUAAAGGCCCUGACCCUUGCCCUUACAUGUCCCAACCGAUGACCUGUCCGUUGCUUUACAGGUGUUCUAUUUCAAUUCCCAAGACAUAUUUUCUAUUAUUUUUUUUCUG
Molecule: unclassified non-coding RNA, 267 nt
Filed under: Hevea brasiliensis (rubber tree)
Lineage: Eukaryota; Viridiplantae; Streptophyta; Magnoliopsida; Malpighiales; Euphorbiaceae
Source: RNAcentral